ACUGAGGAAUGAUGACAGUAAAAGGCCGAAUUGCAGUGCUGUCCAUAAGCAGUUUGCUCUCUGUAUGGAGCACAAUGACAAAGUCUACAGAAGUGAACUUAGUCUGACCUCAGU
This 114-nucleotide small nucleolar RNA is filed under the name Notamacropus eugenii (tammar wallaby). RNAcentral describes it as "Small nucleolar RNA SNORD89 (ENSMEUG00000016821.1)". It matches the Rfam family "Small nucleolar RNA SNORD89". From Rfam's summary of the family: snoRNA HBII-289 belongs to the family of C/D snoRNAs. It is the human orthologue of the mouse MBII-289 and has no identified RNA target. The record is from RNAcentral. Lineage: Eukaryota; Metazoa; Chordata; Mammalia; Diprotodontia; Macropodidae.